This 1199-nucleotide long non-coding RNA is filed under the name Equus asinus (donkey). RNAcentral describes it as "lncRNA (ENSEASG00005035717.1)". Lineage: Eukaryota; Metazoa; Chordata; Mammalia; Perissodactyla; Equidae. The record is from RNAcentral.
CCGGCCGGGCCUCUCCUGCCUGGUGGCGCCCGGAAAUCCUUAUUGCGAGGCUCCUGCGUCCUAGUCUCAGCUUGGCCUGUGACUUGCUGGCCAUCUGUUCAGUGGGGUGAUAUCCAUCUGAUGACUGCGUACACUUUUCAGAGCCUCUGCUGCAGGAGGGGCCCUGGCUGACCAGAUGGCCUGCAGCAUGGAGCUGGCCCGCGCUGCCAUCCAGGCACUGUCCCCAUUCUUCAGUGCACCCUUGGAGUUGUGACGGCCAAAAAGGUUAUUGUUCUUGCUUAUUUCAGCUUCAGCUCCUUGUUAGGUGCAAAGGACUUGGCAAGCAGGAAGGCUCAGGGGGAAGGAUAGCUUUUGUGUCUCAGGUUCCAGAGGGGGUCAGUGGUAUGGAAGAGGGCCUAUUCUUCAACAAGCUAACAAACAAGGCUGCUCCUCACAUGCCUUUGGUGUCACCGUCUACAGGGCUCUUUUUCUCUAGUGUCUGGUCAAGGGAGACCCCUCUGCCAUCAGUCACUCGGUUAUCAAGGUCAGCUGAAGUCCUCCACACACUCAGCCUAGGGUGGAGCGGAAGGUUCCUCUCUGCCCUGGGACGAUAGGGAUGAUAGAGAUUCAGACUAACUCCUGCAGAAAUGAAGGAGGUGACAAAGACAGCAGUGCACACUGUCACACGGAUGGGGACUCAGCACCAGGUGGCGGGAGGUACUCAGGACAGGCUUUUGGAGUUUGAGGAGGGCAUGGAAACCAAGAGCUACAUGCGUUGGGGUUCAGGGGACCUCCUAGAGGAGGAUGCUUAAGCUGGAAAGACACCUGCCUAGGUCUUUGAGAGGUCCCACUCAUUCGUUUAUAAAGGUCUUGCUGAGUGCACACCAAGGGACAGGCACUCUGCUGAGUGCAGGAUGUAAAGAUGCUUACAACCCAGGCCUGCCCUCACGAGCUUGCAGUCCAAGCCCGUCAAUGGUGAUUUCAGGAUAGAAGGGGAUGUGAAGAUCAAUUUAUAGCAUACAGUGGGGUGAGCGAGGGGGCUGUCAGUUCUGCCCAAGGAAUCAGCGAAGACUUCGUAAGGGAGAAGCCUGAGCUGGUGCUGGAAGAAAGAGCGGGGCUUCCCAGAUGGACGAAGGAGGAUGGUCAUUUCCAGCAGAGGGGAUCACAGGAAGGAAGCCCCGGGGUGGGAAGUGCCUUGAUGGCUUGGAAGGGCUGGAGAG